Long non-coding RNA from Rhagoletis zephyria (snowberry fruit fly), 575 nucleotides. RefSeq lists it as uncharacterized. The record is from RefSeq and is a predicted model, not a curated record. NCBI's taxonomy places the organism in Eukaryota, Metazoa, Arthropoda, Insecta, Diptera, Tephritidae.
UCAAAUGAAAAUUUAGAAGACGUUUGGUAUUGCCACUUUAUUUAAAUGAAUCGGUAAAACACAUUCAUUAUAAGGUGUCCACAACUACGAUUUAUUAAACACCUUCAUUAUAAGGUGUUCACAUUAUCCAUUCAUUAAGACCGAUUUAUUUUACAGCUCUUACUCAGAUUAUCGGUCUAUGCAACACCAUUUUGGAGAGACAAAGCAAGGAGGCUAAGGUCGAUGAUUUGCAAAAGAAGAUAACCGAAAAUAUGCCAGAUCGAUGCGAGGGGGUGGCUCAGCAAAAAACUCUUCGAGAAUGCAAAGUGCUAAUCAAAAAGGUGCAUCAGUCAUUCUGUCGAAUAAAUGGGGGCGCUGUUACUGAGCUCCAAUUGGAAAUUUCAGAUGUUCUCCCAUUAAAAACCAUUGACGCAUUGUUUGAUGUGGAGGAGAAACUGCAAAGCAAUGAAUAUAAAGAGGAAAUGAUAUCUUACAUAUUCACAUUGGGCGCUGCGACUGGAAAUAUUGAUGGGACGAUAAAAAAAAUGUUUUCGGACGAAUUGUUAAUAAAUUUUAAUUGGGAUGGAAGGUGUGGA